Long non-coding RNA from Salvia splendens (bonfire salvia), 1669 nucleotides. RefSeq lists it as uncharacterized. The record is from RefSeq and is a predicted model, not a curated record. The transcript has 6 exons. Lineage: Eukaryota; Viridiplantae; Streptophyta; Magnoliopsida; Lamiales; Lamiaceae.
UAUGAGGAGGCAUGGUUUGAGGCUUCGUUGCAUGUUAGAUAUGUCUGUUCCCAGACAACGAACUAGCUCUGCCGCCUCUCUUGCUGCAUCUUCAAUCUCUUUCUGGAACGCGAUUCUCAGGCUAUAUGGUGCCUGGACACAAAUAUAUCUAUCAUGAAACAGCUCAUAGGAAAUUCGCUCGCAUUCUGAUCCUGGUUACAAAUAUGAUUCUGUGGAGAAUAAUUAUAAAGAACACCAUGAAGAGCCAUGACCUCAUAUGUACAAUAUCUGAGGACUGCACCCACCUUCACAUAUUCUGACCAUGGAUAAAAGAUGUGGACGAACCUACCAUGGGGUGGCUCCCAUUUCGCCGAACUUGCCUGAAAAAUAAAUAAAUAAAUAAAUAAAGACAAACAAAUGAUAACACAAUCAUCUUCCUGUGUUGAAUGACUCUGGAAUUUGUAUCAAUCCUCAUAAAGAUAGUGGUGAGUACCAGUGAUUCUAUUUUUGCCGAGGUGUUUAAUAUGGAUCGACAUUUUCGAUAUGCAGGUUCAUCAGGAAAGUCGUCCAUCACAGUCUUUGUAAACUCGGGAUGUUGGCAUCCAUCAUCUUUUAGAUACUUCCCCACACACUCUGAAAAUCACUUGAUGAAAUGAGAAAGCAAAUAUCAUGCAUCACUGAAAUUUGAUUUAUUCUAGAAUAUUAUCGAUGCAAUAUUAUCGAAUUCUGUACCUUGAAGAGCAUCAGCCAGAGAGGUGAAGUGGCUAACAAUCUCCUUGUGCAACAGUUCCCCAGCCCAUAUAGGAAAGAUGAGCACAUUGACUGCAACUGCAACUAUAGCUCCAAUAGCAAUCGAGUAGAGACGGUCCAUGGCUGUCAUGAUGGGGUUCCCCAUACGAUAUCCAGAAACUAUGAUCAAACAGUAGGUAAAAAGUAUGACUCGAAAUCCAUACUCAUAUGGCACUAAAGAUGGCCACAGCUUCAUAAAUGAUGUCACAGUUCCUGUGUCAUUCAACAAGGUGGCUUAGUAGUAAGCAGGCAGAAAACCGAGGUUCAGCAGUUUGUCCUGACUUCAAGGCUAACUCUGCUAUGACGAUGGCCAAGGCUCCAGCGAGCAGGCUGCCUAGUGCUCGGUUGAAUCCUCUAUUAAAAGUUGCACCUUCACACAUAAUGCCAGAGGCAUGUUGAUCUCAAUGCUACCUUUCGCCCCAUUCAUUCUCCAAACAAAUGUUUGUUGGAAAUCAGGGACGACGAGGACAUAUUCUGCUGUUACCAAACAGACUCCCCCCAGCUUCUCCAAACUACAAAGCAGCAUCAAGAAACCAAAACCACACUGUAUGCUAAAAUGGGACUGUGAUGAUGAUAUUCUUUCAACUCCGGCUUACUGUCAGGGCAAAGAAACAGACUUGUUACGCUGUCUUGUUUGCGCGUUGAAUGUGCAUUAACCGCAGCUUCAUGCAUCAGCUUUUCAGCAAUUGGUUCCAUUGUAUUCCUCACCACAAUUCACAUAUAUUCAUGCAUAUGUUACAAUAUUCCAGCCAAUAUGUAAUUCAUUUUGCACUAGUAUUUUUCUGGUUACUCCAGAACUUUUUGUUUGGACAAAAAGAGGAAAAAAGUAGUGCUACUUUAUGUCAAAUGUCAAAUGUCAAAUGUCAAAUGUAAAUAAGAAUAGCAACAAAUGGUUGAAGAA